This 393-nucleotide unclassified non-coding RNA is filed under the name soil metagenome. Its description in RNAcentral is "partial contains 5.8S ribosomal RNA, internal transcribed spacer 2, and large subunit ribosomal RNA". The stretch from base 1 to 122 matches the Rfam family "5.8S ribosomal RNA", at positions 35 to 154 of the family's 154-position model. The record is from RNAcentral.
GAUGAAGAACGUAGCGAAAUGCGAUACUUGGUGUGAAUUGCAGAAUCCCGUAAACCAUCGAGUCUUUGAACGCAAGUUGCGCCCGAAGCCACUAGGCCGAGGGCACGCCUGCCUGGGCGUCACACGUCGUUGCCCCCCCCCCAUCUACUCCUUCGGGAUUGCGGGGGGCGGAUGAUGGCCUCCCGUGCGCCUAGCCGCGCGGUUGGCAUAAAUACCAAGUCCUCGGCGACGCACGCCACGACAAUCGGUGGUUGCGAAACCUCGGUUGCCCGUCGUGUGCGUUCGUCGCGCAUCGAGGGCUCGAAAAAAUGCUCGGCUCCGGCUCGGCUUUCAACGCGACCCCAGGUCAGGCGGGGUUACCCGCUGAAUUUAAGCAUAUCAAUAAGCGGAGGA